Molecule: long non-coding RNA, 513 nt
Filed under: Cavia porcellus (domestic guinea pig)
Lineage: Eukaryota; Metazoa; Chordata; Mammalia; Rodentia; Caviidae
Description: lncRNA (ENSCPOG00000037031.1)
Source: RNAcentral
UAUUUUAUCUGUAUACUCUCUAAUUUGUAUUUCUCUUUUUUAAAACCAGGCUGUUGAUAUCUGUGAACCAAAUCCAAUCCUAAUGCUCAUGCUGUGUGUCUACAUGUAUGAAAAGCUUCCUGCAUUCCUCCCAAAGAAGGUGGUGCCAUUUUAUUGUACUCUGUAUGACUCUGUGCAAAGGCAGAUACUACUGAAAAAUCCAAGCUUGAAAAACAUAUUGUAUCAUGCUACAAUUGUUGGGAGAGAUGCUGCUGACUUUUCUCUGGUUCAGAAAGGAAAUGUUAUAACAGUCCCUCCCCAAAAUGAAAUUAUUAUUACUGUGAAAUUUACCAGUCGCUUUCUUCAUCCUGCUGAAGCUUCAUUGCUAUUAAUUUCAAAACCCAAGCGUAGAGUGCAAGGCAUCACAGUGACUUUUGCUCUGAAAGGUGAAGUCCUCAAUAUUAAAGCAAUUGUAAGUGAAUUUUACUUAUUUUGUCUCUGAGUCUGUUCUCAAACCUUACAGUAGCAUGUUUC